This 240-nucleotide unclassified non-coding RNA is filed under the name soil metagenome. Its description in RNAcentral is "partial contains 5.8S ribosomal RNA, internal transcribed spacer 2, and large subunit ribosomal RNA". The record is from RNAcentral.
AACGGUCUAUACCUGCGGUACCUGCGGAAGGAUCAUUACUGAGUUUUAAGCAUGGGAGCUGUGGCUUUGGCCAUGGUUCCUGUGUUCCUUACUCUUCACCCUUUUGCUAUUUCUUUUCUAGUUGCUUUGGCUGCAGCAUAAAUAAGUGCUGCAGCCAAGGGAAAUUCUUAAUUAAACUCAAUGCUACUUUAAUAGUUGGAUAUGAUUGUCAGAUUUUUAUACUUAUUAUAAUAGUCAUAA